This is a long non-coding RNA of Pongo pygmaeus (Bornean orangutan), 2656 nucleotides long. RefSeq lists it as uncharacterized. The record is from RefSeq and is a predicted model, not a curated record. The transcript is spliced from 2 exons. NCBI's taxonomy places the organism in Eukaryota, Metazoa, Chordata, Mammalia, Primates, Hominidae.
UGCCCAGGCUGGAGUGCAGUGAUGCAAUCUUGGCUCACUGCAACCUCUGCCCCUGGGUUCAAGUGAUUCUCCUGCUUCAGCCUCCUGAGUAGCUGGGAUUACAGGCAUGUGCCACCACACCCAGGCACAUGAACAGUUGCAAUGAUAAUCGUGGACCUUCAGUGAUGGUGUCUCCCAGCAACAAGCCAGAUCCCGCUGUAGCCCACCCUCUGCCCUGGCAAGAUGAACAUGGAGUAGGGGGCUUUUCUGCUUCAGAGCAGCAGUCAUGGAGCCUGGCCUGGCCCUGAUGAAUGUUUCUCAUCCCUGAUGCCCUGAAGUGGGCCUGCCAAGCAGCCCCAACUCUUUUGGGCUGUCCCCACAUGUGGGCUGUCCCCAGAGCUCUCUCUUCUCCGUGACAGCAGUCCUUGGCGUCAUCCCAGCCUCUGGCCUGGGGCUCUCAGGGUCAUGCUUCUGGCACAGCUCAGGCUCCCCUGGGUGCCCUGCCCUCAGUGGGUGACUGCACCCUGGGAGGAAGGGAGGUGCAGCUGGAGAGGAGGAAUGGUGGGGAGCCCCAGGGCAGGGUGGCUGGAGGCAGGCAGUAUCUGGAUGGCUGCCAGAAUAGGGGCCAACCCUCUCCCAGGCACAAAGGGCUCUCUGUGAAGGACACACCAGCCCCAAGUGGAAUCCAGGAGGCUCAUGUUUCUUAACACAAAGGAGGGUCAUUCCCAGACCAGCCUGGGUGUGGCCUGGAGGCUGAACCCCUCUGGGCAGUGCCCUUGGACUCCCAGGGACCCAUGUGGGGGGCUUCGGUCUUCAUUCUGAUCUGGUCUGCGCAGGCAGAUGGAGAGAGGCCUGGGCAGGCGGCCUCACCUCUUCCUCUGGGAGAAGCCUUCCUAGGUCUCCCUACCACAUUCUCCCUCCCACACGCACACGUGCACACACACACGUGCACACACACUUGCACACUCAGAGUCCAAGGGAGAGAAGAUUCCCAACCUAACCACACUUAGAUUAGCCAAGUACGUUGUGCAGACCCUUCUUCUGGCUGGGAAGCAUGUCACGAGAGCCACUGUGUGACCACAGGCAACAGGAUUCCUUCUCUUCAGAACUCAGAAGUGCUCCCUGCCACGAAGCACCUCCUCAGUGUGACCCUGCCAAGCAUAAAAUAGAUAUGCAUAUAUGUACACACAUAUACACACAUAUUUUAUAUAUAUAUAUACAUAAAGAGAGAGACCUAAAAAUGGCAUGGUAGAGAUUUGAAAUCGUCCAUGCUGAUGUGUCUUUCAGCCAAGCCUGAGGUCGAUUUGGGUGGCUGUGCCCUGUGGAAAGAGAUGGGUCAGGGAGAUACCUAGAUACUCACUGGGACUUGUGGGCUUUGUGUUUUUUAAUGGAAGAGUUGGAGUAGGAUCUAUACGGUCUCUUCAGCUCUUGGUAUAGGCCUGAAAGCCACAAGGAUGGACGUCCACCCACCAGCCCCACUGCCCACCCAGCUCCCGAGGCCCCGCUGCAUCGGAGGUCUCUGUGGAUGUCUGUCGGGGCACUGGCAGGCACAGUCCCUCCCUGGACCAUAGCUGAGUUCUGAGGGUAAUGGAUAAGAAGUGUGGGAUUUUCAAAGACUGGCCUUUUCCUAUCCUGUAUGUUCUGCAUUGGGAACGAUGGAGAAGACAUUCAUUUAUUGAACACACAUUUCCUGGGCACCAUCCAUGCACCAAUAAAUAAAACAGACACAAUUAAUUUCGUGCUUUUAGGAGCUUACAUUUGACACAACACAUAGGAGCUUCCCCUCCAUAUAGUUUGCUAAGGUGGCUGUAACAAAAUACCACAGUCUGGGUGGCUUGAACAGCAGCAAUGUAUCCUCUCACAGUUCUGGAGGCUGGAAGUCCAAGGUCAAGGUGUCAGCGGGGCUGGUUCCUCUUGAGGGCUGUAAUAGAGGAUCUGCUCCCUGCCUCUGUCUUCUGGUGGUUUGCCGCCAUCUUUGGCAUUUGUGUGUUGCAGAAGCAUCAUGCUGAUGCUGACUUCAUCUUUACACGGGGUUCUCCCUGUGUGCAGGUUUGCCUCUGUGUUCAAUUUCCCCUUUUUAUAAGGACUCAUUGGAUCAGGGUCCACCCUAAUGACCUCGUCUUAACUUGAUCAUUGGCAAAGACCCUAUUUCCAAAAGAGGUCACGUUCUGAUCCUGAGGGUUAGGACUCCAACGCAUCUUUUUUUGGAGGUGGACACAAUUCAAUCUGCAAUGACUUCUAAAGAAAAGCAUACGAAAGCACGGAGGGGAGCACCCACCCUUGAGGCACCUGAGGUCUCCUGCUUCCACAGGCUCUCACCCAAAUCCCUCUGACGUGGAGCCUGGCCAUGGCCCAUUCCCUACCAGAAGGGAUGAUGGGAAUUCGAGUUUCUGGCUUCUACCCUGGAGAGGCAGGGACAUUUAAUGUGAGAUUUUCUCCAAGUGCAGGAGGAACAUUCCAAAGAUUCAUGCAAAUGUUGCCAUAAAGCACAACAGAAAUCCACUAUGCUUUACCUGGGUAUGGUAGCACACGCCUCUCUUCCCAGCUACUUGGGAGGCUGAGGUGGGAGGAUCACUUGAGCCUAGGAGAUUGAGGCUGCAGUGAGCCAAGAUCACACCACUGCAAUCCAACCUGAGCAACAGAGUGAGAGCCUGUCAAAGAAAGAGAGAGAGAGAAA